RNAcentral lists this ribosomal RNA (495 nucleotides) under uncultured bacterium. RNAcentral's name for it is "bacterial SSU rRNA". It matches the Rfam family "Bacterial small subunit ribosomal RNA", at positions 30 to 507 of the family's 1533-position model. The record is from RNAcentral.
AUGAACGCUAGCGGCAGGCUAAUACAUGCAAGUUGAGGGGGCGAGCAUGAUAUACGCGAGUAUAUUGAUGGCGACCGGCGGACGGGUGAGUAAUAGGUAGGAGACCUACCUCAUACAGGGGGAUAGCAUAGAGAAAUCUGUGGUAAUACCCCAUGAGGUUAUAUGAAUAGAGGCAUAUAAUCAAAGCAUAAGCGAUUAUGCGGUAUGAGAGGGGCCUACUGACCAUUAGCUAGUUGGUGAGGUAAGGGCUCACCAAGGCGAAGAUGGUUAGGGGUUUUGAGAGAGAGACCCCCCACAUUGGAACUGAGAGACGGUCCAGACUCCUACGGGAGGCAGCAGUAGGGAAUAUUGGGCAAUGGGCGAAAGCCUGACCCAGCCAUGCCGCGUGAAGGAAGACGGCCUUAUGGGUUGUAAACUUCUUUACUACGCGAAUAGAGGUUAGUACGAGAUACUAAUAGGAAGGUAGUGUAGUAAAAAGCACCGGCUAACUCCGUG